RNAcentral lists this ribosomal RNA (491 nucleotides) under uncultured bacterium. RNAcentral's name for it is "bacterial SSU rRNA". It matches the Rfam family "Bacterial small subunit ribosomal RNA", at positions 34 to 507 of the family's 1533-position model. The record is from RNAcentral.
CGCUGGCGGCGUGCCUAAUACAUGCAAGUCGAGCGAACAGAUGAAGUGCUUGCACUUCUGACGUUAGCGGCGAAACGGGUGAGUAACACGUAAGGAAUCUACCUAUAAGCGGGGGAUAACAUUCGAAACGGGUGCUAAUACCGCAUAAUAUCUUCUUCCGCAUGGAAGAAGAUUGAAAGACGGCUCUGCUGUCACUUAUAGAUGACCUUGCGGUGCAUUAGUUAGUUGGUGGGGUAAUGGCCUACCAAGACGAUGAUGCAUAGCCGACCUGAGAGGGUGAUCGGCCACAUUGGGACUGAGACACGGCCCAAACUCCUACGGGAGGCAGCAGUAGGGAAUCUUCCGCAAUGGGCGAAAGCCUGACGGAGCAAUGCCGCGUGAGUGAAGAAGGCCUUCGGGUCGUAAAACUCUGUUAUAAGAGAAGAACAAAUUGUAGAGUAACUGCUACAGUCUUGACGGUAUCUUAUCAGAAAGCCACGGCUAACUACGUG